Molecule: ribosomal RNA, 253 nt
Filed under: uncultured bacterium
Lineage: Bacteria
Description: partial 16S ribosomal RNA
Rfam family: Bacterial small subunit ribosomal RNA
Source: RNAcentral
UACGUAGGGUGCAAGCGUUGUCCGGAAUUAUUGGGCGUAAAGAGCUCGUAGGCGGCUUGUCACGUCGACUGUGAAAACCCGGGGCUUAACUUCGGGCUUGCAGUCGAUACGGGCUGGCUAGAGUACGGUAGGGGAGACUGGAAUUCCUGGUGUAGCGGUGAAAUGCGCAGAUAUCAGGAGGAACACCAGUGGCGUAAGCGAUCACCUGGGCUAGACCUGACGCUGAGGGACGAAGGCGUGGGGAGCAAACGGG